GGGAUCAAAAAUGGCUUGAUAUCUAUAUAAGCCCAAAGAGUACUCUGAGGCUUCAAAAAAUCUAUAGGUCUGAUAGGUACCAAGAUCUGAGGACACCCAGACCAAUGCCUUAUCUCGUCUUGCCACCUCAGGAUGCCUCGGCCUCAAUAAGCAGGUCUUCACCAAACACCUGCAAGAGCAUGAUGUCUUAAUGACUGAUCAUACUGAGGCUCAGAUGAUCAAAUGCUGAGCCCUUAAGCAUGUCCACUUCUGAAGCCAUGGAGAUGAUAAGGGGCUAAUCC
This 281-nucleotide long non-coding RNA is filed under the name Elaeis guineensis (African oil palm). Its description in RNAcentral is "long non-coding RNA (EGUI_LNC070444)". Lineage: Eukaryota; Viridiplantae; Streptophyta; Magnoliopsida; Arecales; Arecaceae. The record is from RNAcentral.